This 390-nucleotide unclassified non-coding RNA is filed under the name soil metagenome. RNAcentral describes it as "partial contains 5.8S ribosomal RNA, internal transcribed spacer 2, and large subunit ribosomal RNA". The stretch from base 1 to 122 matches the Rfam family "5.8S ribosomal RNA", at positions 35 to 154 of the family's 154-position model. The record is from RNAcentral.
GAUGAAGAACGUAGCGAAAUGCGAUACUGGGUGUGAAUUGCAGAAUCCCGUGAACCAUCGAGUCUUUGAACGCAAGUUGCGCCCGAAGCCAUUAGGCCGAGGGCACGCCUGCCUGGGCGUCACACGACGUUGCCCCCCCAUCUAAUCCGUCGGGCUUGCGGGGGGCGGAUGAUGGCCUCCCGUGCGCCUCGUCGCGCGGUUGGCAUAAAUGCCAAGUCCUCGGCGACGCACGCCACGACAAUCGGUGGUUGCGAAACCUCGGUUGCCCGUUGUGUGCGGUCGUCGCGCAUCGAGGGCUCGAAAAAAUUGCCGGGCUCCGGCUCGACUUUCAACGCGACCCCAGGUCAGGCGGGGUUACCCGCUGAAUUUAAGCAUAUCAAUAAGCGGAGA